Molecule: transfer RNA, 74 nt
Filed under: Stegodyphus dumicola
Lineage: Eukaryota; Metazoa; Arthropoda; Arachnida; Araneae; Eresidae
Description: tRNA-Asn
Rfam family: tRNA
About the family: Transfer RNA (tRNA) molecules are approximately 80 nucleotides in length.
Source: RNAcentral
GCCUUCGUGGUGUAGUGGUUCAGCACGCCGGGCCGUUAUUCCAGAGAUCCGUGGUUCGAUUCCCGGCGAAGGCG